This 63-nucleotide transfer RNA is filed under the name Batocera lineolata. RNAcentral describes it as "tRNA-Cys". RNAcentral also lists the same sequence under 1 other name. The record is from RNAcentral. Lineage: Eukaryota; Metazoa; Arthropoda; Insecta; Coleoptera; Cerambycidae.
AGUCUUAUAGUCAUAAAUGAUUUUAAAUUGCAAAUUUAAAGGUGAUUGAAUAAUCUAAGGCUU